AUGGGUCCUCGCAGCCUCUACUUCGUACCCACACUGGAGGACCCCAACCGUGUCCCGCCCGAGCGCUUCGCCUUGCAGUUCGAGGACGGCGACCAAUUCAUGCCCCUCGGAUCCCGCCAUGGCCUCGUGUUCGUCAUCCACCUGACGUGGAGCCGGGUCCUGGUGUGGGAUCCGGUCACCGCCGACCAGCACCUCAUCGCCCUCCCCCCUGGCUUAAUGGGACAUCUGAACAGGAUCAUGGUCCACGGGGCCGUGCUUCGUGCUGCCGGAGAGGCCCAGCAUUUCCAGGUGGUUUUGAUGGUGGCAGAUGAUGAUUAUGACAUGCAGGACAGGCAAAUGCUGGCCUGCGUUUACUCGUCGAAGACCGGCGUGUGGGGUGAUAUCAUCUCAGCGCCGCUUCCGCCCAAGGUUCCUAUCGGCAGCUGGCCCCUCAUGGUUUCUCCGUCCAAGGAAGCUGUGCUGGUUGAUAAUUCCCUUCACUGGAUGCUUUUUGGGAGCUUAGUUGGAAUUCUCGAGUUUGAUCUGUUGAAGCAGAGCAUAGCCGUGAUACCGACACCAGUGGGUGUGGUUUCCUCCCACGGCAGACAUGAAUUGACGGUUGUACGGGCAAAGGGCGGUGGCCUUGGUUUUCUCAUCGUGAUAGACUUCUGCGCACAAUCAUGGAGGAGAAAGACCGAUUGUCAUGGUGUUGCUUCAUGGGAGCUGGAAAGAACUAUCGAACUGGACAAGCUACUUCCCCUGAAUCCAGAGAUGAGAGCACACUUAUACAUAGUAGGGUUUGCUGAGGAGAAUAAUGUGGUGUUCAUGUGGACAUCAGUUAUCGGUCUCUUCCUGAUUCAUCUUGAGUCAUUGCAGUUCAAGAAAAUUCCCCAUCCCAGCAUGCUUGCCCGUUAUCUUCCAUUUGAAAGUGUCUUUAUUGCAGAAACAUGUGUUGGUGGUGGACAUGAUGGAGCUGUUGCUGGUGGACAGGACCGAGGUGAGCUUUUGCUCAAUACCUCUAUUUGUUAA
RNAcentral lists this ribosomal RNA (1008 nucleotides) under Triticum aestivum (bread wheat). Its description in RNAcentral is "partial small subunit ribosomal RNA". Lineage: Eukaryota; Viridiplantae; Streptophyta; Magnoliopsida; Poales; Poaceae. The record is from RNAcentral.